Long non-coding RNA from Xyrauchen texanus (razorback sucker), 2046 nucleotides. RefSeq lists it as uncharacterized. NCBI's taxonomy places the organism in Eukaryota, Metazoa, Chordata, Actinopteri, Cypriniformes, Catostomidae. The transcript has 7 exons. The record is from RefSeq and is a predicted model, not a curated record.
ACAUAGUAAUCAUGGCUGCUCAUCUGAAAAACGAGUUUACUAGGACUUCUCUAUAGUAACUUUACAUAAAAAUUAUUAUCUAUACUGAUAAAAAAAAUAAUCAUUUUAUUAUACUGAUCGCAGAAUGUAGUUUUAUUUGAAAAUAUUAUAAUACAUACAAACUAAAUGUAGCUGUUAGCAUCAGUGUGAUAAUAACUGUAUCUAUUAUUGUUUCACUUCUUAAGACAUGGAUUAAACAAUUGGAGUCUUAUGAAUUAAUGUUUUGCUGCAUUUAUGUGAUUUUUGAGCUUCAAAGUUUUGAUCACCAUACACUUGUAUUGUAUGGACCCACAGAGCUGAGAUAUUCUUCUUAAAAUCUUCAUUUAUGUUCUGCAGACUAAAGAAAGUCAUACACAGCCUGUAAACUCUUGAGUGAUGAUUACGAGCAGGUUCACUCGGCAGCGGUGCAGAUGGUUUUGGUCUUGAGUCAGCUUUACCAGAGAUCAAAAUGGUGGAUAACUCCUUUGGAAGGAUCUGUCACAUAGUCAGUGAUGGCUCAUGGAUAGUCAGAGUGCAAGCUGCCAAACUGCUGGCUCCAUGUACCAAGUGAGCCCUCAUUUCCUUGAGCAGACUCUGGACAAGAUGCUAAUGUCAGAUCUCGGGGUACUUCACAACAAAAUCUUUAUGUGCUCAAUAAAAGGCUCAUAAAAAUGUGUCCAUCUGUAUUUUUCAUUAAACAUCAAGUAUUCUUCAGAAAAAAAGAGGAAAUGCACUGCUCAUGAACGAGCUGAAGAACUUUAUGCUUCUAGAGAGUCUCAUUUGGAUGCCGGUGGGCUGAUGAUGCUCCAAAAGAGAUAACCUAAUUGACUCUGGUGCCUGUGGGGCAUUUGUUCAUGGGCUAGAAGACGAGAUGUAUGGGGUGCGUAUCACUGCAGGAGAAGUGUUGUGUUCACUUGCUCAGUUGUCAUCCAGAUUUGCUGAGAAGUGUCAUGACUUCCUGUUGGACAUGUUCAAUGAUGAAAUCGAGGACCCAUAUCACCCUCAGAGAAGACCAACUGGACACUGUGCUCGCAGUACUAGAGGUAGACAGAGGCCUGUCAGAUUGAGGUGAGGUUACUUUUGGCCUGCAUCUCCAGCAGCAGUAAACUAUUUGCUGCUAAACCCGCCUGGAAUGAAAGUAUGGAUGGAUGAGGGCACAAUCCAUCUCAGCAAGCCUGUCAAAAUCUUUGUCAUGCCCAAACCAGAGGACAGAGGAUCCCAGACAAUAUAUCUCUUAAAAACAACAGCUAGCACAAGGUGGAGCACUGUCACCAUUUGAAAUUAGAGUUUCUACUCUUUCUGGUUUCUGAAAUAAAUAGUGUUUGUCUAUUUUUAUCACUGGUGUGUGUGUGGGGUGAUGUGUAAUUUUCAAAGCUUACAACCAAACAUAUUUUCAAACGAUUAUUUAAAAGCUUUGUGUAAUUUCUGCACUAAAUGGAACUGAGCACAACAGUCUGGUUCCAGAUGUGAAAAUCACAUUUGUUUAUUUUCCAUAUGAGAAUUGAUAUUUAACUAUAACUUAUAAACCUUUAAACACAGACUACCAUGAGCACAGAGGUUGAUCAAUGGUGUAUGCUACUUGUAAAGCCAACAGUUUUGUUUUUACUUAAUUUUUAAAAAAUGUUUUAAAUGAAUGUUCCGGGUUCAAAACAAGAUAAGCUCAGUCGACAGCAUUUUUUGCAUAAUGCUGAUUACCACAUAACUUGAUUUCCAUUCAUCCCUCCUUUUCUUUAAAAAAAGCAAAAAUCUAGGUUAUAGUGAGACACUUCCAAUGGAAGUGAACGGGGGCAUAUUUUGGAGGGUUUAAACAUAAACGUGAAGCUUAUAAUUUGAUAAAAGCACUUGCAUUAAUUCUUCAGUUAAACGCUUUAAAACUGUUUAAAUCGUAAUUUUAGGGUUAAUGACAUUACAUCGUCAUGGUAACAAUGUUGUAAAAUUGGCUAUAAUUUUCCACAGAAAAGGUUUGUAAAUGAAUUUAUCACACUGAAGUCAUGUUUACAUGCAUAUAUAUACACACACACACACACA